This 670-nucleotide ribosomal RNA is filed under the name uncultured bacterium. Its description in RNAcentral is "bacterial SSU rRNA". It matches the Rfam family "Bacterial small subunit ribosomal RNA", at positions 8 to 676 of the family's 1533-position model. The record is from RNAcentral.
AGAGUUUGAUCCUGGCUCAGGACGAACGCUGGCGGCGGGCUUAACACAUGCAAGUCGCACGAGAAAGUGCCUUCGGGCACGAGUAAAGUGGCGGACGGGUGCGUAACGCGUAGGCAACCUGCCCUCAAGCGGGGGAUAACUUCGGGAAACCGGAGCUAAUACCGCAUAUAGUCCGAUGCUCGCAUGAGCAACGGAUAAAAGCCUUCGGGCGCUUGAGGAUGGGCCUGCGUCGGAUUAGCUAGUUGGUGAGGUAACAGCUCACCAAGGCAACGAUCCGUAGCUGGUCUGAGAGGACGAUCAGCCACACUGGGACUGAGACACGGCCCAGACUCCUACGGGAGGCAGCAGUGGGGAAUAUUGCGCAAUGGAGGAAACUCUGACGCAGCCACGCCGCGUGGUGGAAGACACCCCUAUGGGGCGUAAACACCUUUUAUUUGGGAAGAAGGCUCUCCUCUGGAGAGUUUGACGGUACCACAUGAAUAAGCACCGGCUAACUCCGUGCCAGCAGCCGCGGUAAUACGGAGGGUGCAAGCGUUGUCCGGAAUCACUGGGUGUAAAGGGUGUGUAGGCGGACCUGUAAGUCAGAGGUGAAAGUCUGCGGCUUAACCGUAGAAUUGCCUUUGAUACUGUAGGUCUUGAGUCCCGGAGAGGUUGCUGGAAUUCGUGGUGU